UUUCCGUAGGUGAACCUGCGGAAGGAUCAUUAAUGUGUUUGGGCCUCACGGCUCUUCAUUCCGACGCUGUGCGCCUUCGGGCUGCACGCUGAGGGAGCAUAUAUCCACCCCUGUGCACACACACGGUGGCGAGCUGGGUAACGGCUCGCCGCUGAUCUUUACACACGUCUAAAAGUCAUUGUAUGUUAAUUUGAGAUAAAAACACAACUUUCAGCAACGGAUCUCUUGGCUCUC
RNAcentral lists this unclassified non-coding RNA (234 nucleotides) under plant metagenome. RNAcentral describes it as "partial contains small subunit ribosomal RNA, internal transcribed spacer 1, and 5.8S ribosomal RNA". The record is from RNAcentral.